Molecule: ribosomal RNA, 254 nt
Filed under: uncultured bacterium
Lineage: Bacteria
Description: partial 16S ribosomal RNA
Rfam family: Bacterial small subunit ribosomal RNA
Source: RNAcentral
UACGGAGGGUGCAAGCGUUAUCCGGAAUCACUGGGUUUAAAGGGUGCGUAGGCGGCUAUGUAAGUCAGUUGUGAAAUACCUCGGCUUAACCGAAGGAAGUGCGAUUGAUACUGCGUAGCUUGAAUCAGGUUGAGGUAGGCGGAAUGUGACAUGUAGCGGUGAAAUGCUUAGAUAUGUCAGAGAACACCGAUUGCGAAGGCAGCUUACUGGGCUUUGAUUGACGCUGAGGCACGAAAGCGUGGGGAGCAAACAGG